GUUUUUAUACUUUAAACUUUAUAGAAGAUCUAUUUUGCAUAUAGAAAGUAACUUUUUUAUGUUUUAAAACA
RNAcentral lists this transfer RNA (71 nucleotides) under Achatinella fulgens. RNAcentral describes it as "tRNA-Ala". The record is from RNAcentral. Lineage: Eukaryota; Metazoa; Mollusca; Gastropoda; Stylommatophora; Achatinellidae.